UACGUAGGGGGCGAGCGUUGUCCGGAGUUACUGGGCGUAAAGCGCUUGUAGGCGGUCCACCCAGUUUGGGGUGACAGUUGCCGACUUAAUCGGCAAAGUGCCUCAAAGACUGGCGGACUUGAGGGCCACAGAGGGACAUGGAACUCCAGGUGUAGUGGUGAAAUGCGUAGAUAUCUGGAAGAACACCAAAGGCGAAGGCAGUGUCCUGGGUGGUCGCUGACGCUGAGAGGCGAAAGCCAGGGGAGCGAACGGG
RNAcentral lists this ribosomal RNA (253 nucleotides) under uncultured bacterium. RNAcentral describes it as "partial 16S ribosomal RNA". It matches the Rfam family "Bacterial small subunit ribosomal RNA", at positions 524 to 776 of the family's 1533-position model. The record is from RNAcentral.